AGCAGCCGCGGUAAUUCCAGCUCCAAUAGCGUAUAUUAAAGUUGUUGCAGUUAAAAAGCUCGUAGUUGAAUUUCGGGAUCAAUAUGUCGGUCGUGCCUUCGGUACGUACUGGUAUCAUUGGUCUCUCCUUUCUGACGAACCAUGAUGUCAUUAAUUUGGUGUUAUGGGGAGUUAGGACUGUUACUUUGAAAAAAUUAGAGUGUUUAAAGUAGGCUUUAGCUUGAAUACAUUAGCAUGGAAUAAUGAAAUAGGACGUUCGAACCUAUUUUGUUGGUUUCUAGGAUCAACGUAAUGAUUAAUAGGGAUAGUUGGGGGCAUUAGUAUUCAAUUGUCAGAGGUGAAAUUCUUGGAUUUAUUGAAGACUAACUACUGCGAAAGCAUUUGCCAAGGAUGUUUUCAUUAAUCAAGAACGAAAGUUAGGGGAUCGAAGACGAUCAGAUACCGUCGUAGUCUUAACCAUAAACUAUGCCGACUAGGGAUCGGAUGAUGUUAAUUUUUUAAUGACUCA
RNAcentral lists this ribosomal RNA (508 nucleotides) under uncultured Glomus. RNAcentral's name for it is "SSU rRNA". It matches the Rfam family "Eukaryotic small subunit ribosomal RNA", at positions 569 to 1078 of the family's 1831-position model. The record is from RNAcentral. Lineage: Eukaryota; Fungi; Glomeromycota; Glomeromycetes; Glomerales; Glomeraceae.